This 3311-nucleotide long non-coding RNA is filed under the name Danio rerio (zebrafish). RNAcentral describes it as "lncRNA (ENSDARG00000117758.1)". Lineage: Eukaryota; Metazoa; Chordata; Actinopteri; Cypriniformes; Danionidae. The record is from RNAcentral.
AUGGAGAGCUCCAAUGGCUCCGACACCAAACCGCAGAGCCAUCAUCCUCAGGUGGAGAAGAAGAGGUUAAACCGCGCGCCGUCCCCUGCCAGACCCGUCCUCAAGGAUGUCCACUCGCGGACGGCCAAACCGAUCGUGCCAAAAUCGCCCAAAUUCAACAAGCAGCAAGCGCCGGUGACGCCUCAGAGCCGCGUCCCGAGACGCACCGUCCCGGGCGCGAAGGACAAAACCGCAUCAGCACCUGCAAAAAGCAACACCAAGCCCGCCUCAGCGACAAAAAAGCCCGUUAAGGUCACUCAGCAUGCAGCAUCCGAACCCAAACCGGCCGGUAAGGCUGCGGAGUCCGCCGCUCCGCAGAUCACCAAGAGCAAGGGGAGACCUGCCCCCAUACGCGUGCCCACCGGACGCGGCGUCUGUCAGACCGACAGCAGCUCGGAUUUGUCUGACUGUCCUUCCGAGCCGCUGUCCGACGAGCAGAGGCUGGUCCAGGCCGCCAGCAGCGACGCGGAGUCGGGCAGCGGCUCGGGUUCGAGUGAGCAGGCGGCUGCAGGAUCACGGACUGCACCUGCUCCUGCUCCCGUUGCGCGCGCGGACAAACGCAAAGAUAAUAAAGACGCACAGUUUAAACCCGACGGCAAGGAGAUGGAGACGGAGAUGGCCCAGGACGAGCUGCUAAGGGAGAUCGAAGACCUGCGAUCGGAAAAUGACUACCUCAAGGAUGAAGUGGAUGAGCUGCGAGCAGAGAUGGAGGAGAUCCGGGACAGUUACCUGGAAGAGGAGGUGUACCAGCUGCAAGAUCUGCGCCGGGAACUGGACCGCUCCAACAAAAACUGCCGGAUCCUCCAGUACCGCCUGCGCAAGGCUGAACAGAAGAGCCUGCGUGUAGCACAGACCGGACAUGUGGACGGAGAGCUUCUGCGCGGCCUGGAGCAGGACCUCAAGGUGGCCAAAGAUGUAUCGGUGCGUCUGCACAAUGAACUAGAAACGGUGGAAGACAAGCGAACGCGGGCGGAAGAUGAAAACGAGCUGCUCAGGCAAAAGAUCAUCGAAAUCGAGAUCUCCAAACAGGCCCUGCAUAAUGAGCUGGAGAGAGCCAAAGAGGUACUGUACCACAGAUCACUGUAUUCGAGCAAAAACUUGUUUUUGUGGUAGUAGUGUUGCUAUUCUAGAUGCUGUGGUGUUAUAUUUAUAGCCAUUGCAGGAGCUUUCUGGGUUAUUCACAGAUGUGUUGUCAACAGUUGUGUUUAUAACUGUAUAUUCUGUUAUAACUGCUGAUUGCAUCUUAUGAUACUGAUAUUGGUCAAUUGCAUUCAUGACUAUCCUGUUUUUUUUUAACUCGUUUGCAUGUAAAGAAGAGUUUUUUAAUUUACCGGUAAAGUCGUUCCGGAAAUUUUUCUGGAUAUUUACCGCUAUCACUGUGUGAAAGGGGCUAUUGUCUCAUUCUUCCUGCAAACAAGUCUUAGGGCUCCAUUUUAGUGAUCUAGGUGCAAAGUCUGUUUCAUUGUCACAUUCUCUAUUAGAGACAGGUCUGGACUGUAGGUAGGCCAGUCAGCGUUAAUGGUGCCAUCACAGAAGUUACCUUUGCAAGUUAUAUUAAAUUAUUUUACUCAAAAUUAUUUCACUCUUUUCAUGCAGCGGCAAAUUAUUUUGGUGAUAAUCUCCAAAUGUAAAUAACCCAGAAUAUUAUUUGAAGGCAUCAAAGACAAACCCAAUAAUGACCCACAAACGUGCUGCAUCACUUCUGUUGAAUAAGACGGUUAAAGCGGGACGGCCCGAGGGUUGAGACGCUCCCACCGUGAGUGUGCUGCUUUGAAGUAUGGAUGAAUGCAUUAACUUUGAAGCCUGCUGCCGUGUGCAUUAAUGCAUGACAGGCCGUUCGCUGCUUCAGUAAUCGGAUGCUGAGGAGUUACUCUGGAGUCGCUCAGGUUAAUCGAGAGUAAUCUGGAAAGAUUGAGUCACGGCUGUGUGGAGGAGAAGAACACUGAGUGUGGGGUGUCUUCAAAUAUGGGGUUGCUUGGGGGUUCUAUCUAUCCAUCUAUCUAUCCAUGCGUCAUGCAAUCUAUUAAUCCAUCCAUCCAUCAAUCAUUCUAUUAUUUUUAGUAUUGUUCUAUCUAUCUAUCUAUCUAUCUAUCUAUCUAUCUAUCUAUCUAUCUAUCUAUCUAUCUAUCUAUCUAUCUAUCUAUCUAUCUAUCUAUCUAUCUAUCUAUCUAUCUAUCUAUCUAUCUAUCUAUCUAUCCAUCAUUCUAUAAUAUCUAUUUAUCUAUUAUUCUAUCAUUCUAUUAUAAUAUCGUUCUAUCUAUUCAUCUGUCAAUCUGUCAUUCUAUCCAUCAAUCCAUCCAUCCAUCCAUCCAUCCAUCCAUCAUCCAUUCAUCAAAUUAUUUAUCAUUCUAUUAUUCUAUAUAUUGUUCUAUUGUUCUAUUUAUUGUUCUUUCAUUCUUUCUAUCAUUCUGUUGUGUUAUCUAUCUAUCUCUCCUAUCAUUCUAUCUAUCUAUCUAUCAUUCUACAGUAUUAUCUUUCAAUCUAUCGUUCUGUCUAUAAUUCUAUGUAUCUAUCGUUCUAUGUAUCCAUCCAUCCAUCCAUCCAUCCAUCCAUCAAUCUAUCUGUCAUUCUAUCCAUCUGCCAUCGUUCUAUCCUUCCAUCAUUCUAUUCAUCCACCGAUCCAUACAUCAUUCUAAAGUAUCUAUCCAUCUAUUGUUCUAUCAUUCAAUUAUACUAUCAUUCUAUCUAUCCAUCUAUCCGUCAUUCUAUUAAUCCAUCCAUUCAUCCAACUAUACAUACAUCCAUCCAUCGUUCUAUUUAUCGUUCUAUUAUUCUAUGUAUGUUCUAUGCUUCAUUCUAUUUAUCCUUUUACUGUUCUAUUUAUUGUUCUUUCAUUCUUCUUAUCAUUCUGUUGUAUGUUUUUAUCUAUCUAUCCUUUUAUCAUUCUAUCUAUUCUAUCAUUCUACAGUAUUAUCUUUAAAUCUAUCGUUCUAUCUGUCUGUCUGUCUAUUAUUCUAUCUAUCGAUUGUUCUAUCCAUCCAUCCAUCAAUCUAUCAAUCUAUCCUUCAUUCUAUCCAUCCACCCAUCCUGUCUAUCCAGUUCUAUUCUUCCAUCAUUCUACCCAUCCACCGAUCCAUCCAUCAUUCUAAAGUAUCUGUUUAUCUUUCUAUCUAUUGUUCUAUCAUUCUAUUAUACUAUCGUUCUAUCUAUCCAUCUAUCCGUCAUUCUAUCAAUCCAUCCAUCCAUCCAUCCAUCCAACCAUACACACAUACAUCCAACCAUACAUGCAUACAUACAUACAUACAUACAUCUCUUGCUCUAUUUAUCAUUCU